RNAcentral lists this ribosomal RNA (253 nucleotides) under uncultured bacterium. RNAcentral's name for it is "partial 16S ribosomal RNA". It matches the Rfam family "Bacterial small subunit ribosomal RNA", at positions 524 to 776 of the family's 1533-position model. The record is from RNAcentral.
UACGUAGGGUCCGAGCGUUGUCCGGAAUUACUGGGCGUAAAGAGCUCGUAGGUGGUUUGUCGCGUUGUUCGUGAAAACUCACAGCUCAACUGUGGGCGUGCGGGCGAUACGGGCAGACUUGAGUACUGCAGGGGAGACUGGAAUUCCUGGUGUAGCGGUGGAAUGCGCAGAUAUCAGGAGGAACACCGAUGGCGAAGGCAGAUCUCUGGGCCGUAACUGACGCUGAGGAGCGAAAGCAUGGGGAGCGAACAGG